CAAAUCUCAAAAAAACAAUCUCAGUUCAGACUGCAGGCUGCAACUCGCCUGCACGAAGUCGGAAUUGCUAGUAAUCGUAGGUCAGCAUACUACGGUGAAUACGUUCCCGGGCCUUGUACACACCGCCCGUCAAACCAUGAGAGUUGGCAACACCCGAAGUCGGUAGUCUAACCGCAAGGAGGACGCCGCCGAAGGUGGGGUUGAUGAUUAGGGUUAAGUCGUAACAAGGUACC
Molecule: ribosomal RNA, 233 nt
Filed under: uncultured bacterium
Lineage: Bacteria
Description: partial 16S ribosomal RNA
Rfam family: Bacterial small subunit ribosomal RNA
Source: RNAcentral